GAUGAACGCUGGCGGCGUGCCUAAUACAUGCAAGUCGAGCGAACAGACGAGGAGCUUGCUCCUCUGACGUUAGCGGCGGACGGGUGAGUAACACGUGGAUAACCUACCUAUAAGACUGGGAUAACUUCGGGAAACCGGAGCUAAUACCGGAUAACAUGUUGAACCGCAUGGUUCAAUAGUGAAAGACGGCCUUGCUGUCACUUAUAGAUGGAUCUGCGCCGCAUUAGCUAGUUGGUAAGGUAACGGCUUACCAAGGCAACGAUGCGUAGCCGACCUGAGAGGGUGAUCGGCCACACUGGAACUGAGACACGGUCCAGACUCCUACGGGAGGCAGCAGUAGGGAAUCUUCCGCAAUGGGCGAAAGCCUGACGGAGCAACGCCGCGUGAGUGAUGAAGGUCUUCGGAUCGUAAAACUCUGUUAUUAGGGAAGAACAAAUGUGUAAGUAACUAUGCACGUCUUGACGGUACCUAAUCAGAAAGCCACGGCUAACUACGUG
Molecule: ribosomal RNA, 497 nt
Filed under: uncultured bacterium
Lineage: Bacteria
Description: partial 16S ribosomal RNA
Rfam family: Bacterial small subunit ribosomal RNA
Source: RNAcentral